GAUGAAGAACGCAGCGAAAUGCGAUACGUAAUGUGAAUUGCAGAAUUCAGUGAAUCAUCGAGUCUUUGAACGCACAUUGCGCCCCCUGGUAUUCCGGGGGGCAUGCCUGUCCGAGCGUCAUUGCUGCCCUCAAGCACGGCUUGUGUGUUGGGCCUCCGUCCUCCUCCCGGGGGACGGGCCCGAAAGGCAGCGGCGGCACCGCGUCCGGUCCUCGAGCGUAUGGGGCUUCGUCACCCGCUCUUGUAGGCCCGGCCGGCGCUUGCCGACACAUCAAUCUUUUUUCCAGGUUGACCUCGGAUCAGGUAGGGAUACCCGCUGAACUUAAGCAUAUCAAUAAGCGGGGGA
RNAcentral lists this unclassified non-coding RNA (345 nucleotides) under soil metagenome. Its description in RNAcentral is "partial contains 5.8S ribosomal RNA, internal transcribed spacer 2, and large subunit ribosomal RNA". The stretch from base 1 to 120 matches the Rfam family "5.8S ribosomal RNA", at positions 35 to 154 of the family's 154-position model. The record is from RNAcentral.